RNAcentral lists this ribosomal RNA (331 nucleotides) under uncultured eukaryote. RNAcentral's name for it is "partial 18S ribosomal RNA". It matches the Rfam family "Eukaryotic small subunit ribosomal RNA", at positions 1470 to 1796 of the family's 1831-position model. The record is from RNAcentral.
CCCUUAGAUGUCCGGGGCCGCACGCGCGCUACACUGAAGGAAUCAGCGUGGCUUUCUCCCUGACCCGAAAGGGUUGGGAAACCCGUUGAAUCUCCUUCGUGAUAGGGAUUGGGGCUUGAAAUUGUUCCCCAUGAACGAGGAAUUCCCAGUAAGCGCGAGUCAUAAGCUCGCGUUGAUUACGUCCCUGCCCUUUGUACACACCGCCCGUCGCUACUACCGAUUGAAUGGUUUAGUGAGGCCUUCUGACUGGCGCCGCUACUCUGGCAACAGAGCGGCGGAUGCCGGGAAGUUGGUCAAACUUGAUCAUUUAGAGGAAGUAAAAGUCGUAACA